Molecule: ribosomal RNA, 253 nt
Filed under: uncultured bacterium
Lineage: Bacteria
Description: partial 16S ribosomal RNA
Rfam family: Bacterial small subunit ribosomal RNA
Source: RNAcentral
GACAGAGGGGGCAAGCGUUGCUCGGAAUUACUGGGCGUAAAGGGCGCGUAGGCGGAAUGGCAAGUCGGUCGUGAAAUCCUUCGGCUCAACCGAAGAACGUCGAUCGAAACUGCCGUUCUUGAGGAUUGCAGAGGAGACUGGAAUUCCCGGUGUAGCGGUGAAAUGUGUAGAGAUCGGGAGGAACACCGGUGGCGAAGGCGGGUCUCUGGGCAAUUCCUGACGCUGAGGCGCGAAAGCUAGGGGAGCAAACGGG